RNAcentral lists this ribosomal RNA (266 nucleotides) under uncultured prokaryote. RNAcentral's name for it is "partial 16S ribosomal RNA". It matches the Rfam family "Bacterial small subunit ribosomal RNA", at positions 524 to 788 of the family's 1533-position model. The record is from RNAcentral.
UACGUAGGUGGCGAGCGUUGUCCGGAUUUACUGGGCGUAAAGGGAGCGUAGGCGGACUUUUAAGUGAGAUGUGAAAUACCCGGGCUCAACUUGGGUGCUGCAUUUCAAACUGGAAGUCUAGAGUGCAGGAGAGGAGAAUGGAAUUCCUAGUGUAGCGGUGAAAUGCGUAGAGAUUAGGAAGAACACCAGUAGCGAAGGCGGCUCUCUGGACUGUAACUGACGCUGAGGCACGAAAGCGUGGGGAGCAAACAGGAUUAGAUACCCCU